This 253-nucleotide ribosomal RNA is filed under the name uncultured bacterium. RNAcentral's name for it is "partial 16S ribosomal RNA". It matches the Rfam family "Bacterial small subunit ribosomal RNA", at positions 524 to 776 of the family's 1533-position model. The record is from RNAcentral.
UACGUAGGGGGCGAGCGUUGUCCGGAAUCAUUGGGCGUAAAGAGCGUGUAGGCGGCUUGGCAAGUCUUGCGUGAAAUCCUGCGGCUCAACCGCAGGCGGUCGCAGGAAACUGCCUCGCUAGAGUCCGGAAGAGGAGAGCGGAAUUCCUGGUGUAGCGGUGGAAUGCGCAGAUAUCAGGAGGAACACCAAUAGCGAAGGCAGCUCGCUGGGACGUUACUGACACUGAGGCGCGAAAGCGUGGGGAGCGAACAGG